Molecule: non-coding RNA, 335 nt
Organism: Schizosaccharomyces pombe (fission yeast)
Lineage: Eukaryota; Fungi; Ascomycota; Schizosaccharomycetes; Schizosaccharomycetales; Schizosaccharomycetaceae
Source: the annotation of a GenBank genome assembly
AGCUACGAAUGAAACAUUUUAUGAAUAGGAAACCAGAAGGUCGACGGAUAUUUUUGACUACGUAUACUUACUAAGCUUCCUGCAAUUGAAUUAGAAAUGUAAUUUUAAAUACCUCGCACGGUAUUCUUCUCAUAAAAAACAAAUGAGUUUUCAAACAUUCCAAAAAUAUUUGAGGAUAAACUAAAGUAAGCCGGUUUUAGAAAUUUUGCGUCUCAAAUUGUCCAUACUGCAUUUAUUAGCCCUCAAGGUGAUUUAGCCUGAUAACGAAAGUUAAGUUUGAAACAUUUGUCUAAACAAAGGUUCAGUUCCGUAGCUAUUCCUCAAUUGUUAUUUUU